RNAcentral lists this ribosomal RNA (405 nucleotides) under uncultured prokaryote. RNAcentral describes it as "bacterial SSU rRNA". It matches the Rfam family "Bacterial small subunit ribosomal RNA", at positions 355 to 774 of the family's 1533-position model. The record is from RNAcentral.
UGGGGAAUAUUGGGCAAUGGGCGAAAGCCUGACCCAGCAACGCCGCGUGAAGGAAGAAGGCCUUCGGGUUGUAAACUUCUUUGAUCGGGGACGAAAGAAAUGACGGUACCCGAAAAACAAGCCACGGCUAACUACGUGCCAGCAGCCGCGGUAAUACGUAGGUGGCGAGCGUUAUCCGGAUUUACUGGGUGUAAAGGGCGUGUAGGCGGUUGUUUAAGUCGGAUGGGAAAGUCCCGGGCUUAACCCUGGCGAUGCAACCGAAACUGAAAAACUGGAGUACGGGAGAGGACGGCGGAAUUCCUAGUGUAGCGGUGAAAUGCGUAGAUAUUAGGAGGAACACCGGUGGCGAAGGCGGCUGUCUGGACAGUAACUGACGCUGAGGCGCGAAAGCGUGGGGAGCAAACA